CCCAGCCAUAACAUGGCAACAUCUGCUCGCCAAACAACUACGAGUGAAAACUUAAAACUUAAAGGACUUGACGGUACUUCACCCAACCUAGAGGAGCCUGUCCAGUAACCGAUAACCCACGAUUAAUCCAACCACUUCUGGCCWCCCAGUCUAUAUACCGCCGUCGCCAGCCCACCUUGCAAAAGAAACAAMGUGAGCCAAACAGUACCACACUAACACGACAGGUCGAGGUGUAACUUAUGAAGUGGAUCAAGAUGGGCUACAUUUUCUAACCCAGACAAUACGAACAAAGACWUGAAACCAUCUUUCGAAGGUGGAUUUAGCAGUAAGCCAGGAACACAAUACCCAGCUGAAACCAUUGCAA
Molecule: ribosomal RNA, 364 nt
Filed under: Simalia amethistina (scrub python)
Lineage: Eukaryota; Metazoa; Chordata; Lepidosauria; Squamata; Pythonidae
Description: partial 12S ribosomal RNA
Source: RNAcentral